Molecule: transfer RNA, 65 nt
Filed under: uncultured Eubacterium sp.
Lineage: Bacteria; Bacillati; Bacillota; Clostridia; Eubacteriales; Eubacteriaceae
Rfam family: tRNA
About the family: Transfer RNA (tRNA) molecules are approximately 80 nucleotides in length. Their secondary structure includes four short double-helical elements and three loops (D, anti-codon, and T loops).
Source: RNAcentral
GUGUAGCUCAGCUGGAUAGAGCGUCUGGCUACGGACCAGAAGGCCGAGGGUUCGAAUCCUUUCAC